This 474-nucleotide long non-coding RNA is filed under the name Ornithorhynchus anatinus (platypus). Its description in RNAcentral is "lncRNA (ENSOANG00000042503.1)". Lineage: Eukaryota; Metazoa; Chordata; Mammalia; Monotremata; Ornithorhynchidae. The record is from RNAcentral.
UUCCCGGGGAGGCCCUGGCCCCCGAGGAGACCCUCCCGGUCCACCCCGGAUCAGACUCGCGGGCUCUGGCCCAAGGGAAUGGGACGACGGGACUCUUUCUGGGCUGAGUGCGGGCGGGGGUGGGGAGGGGGACGACGCUGACGAGGUGCAGGGCUGAGCCGGAAAGGGAAAUGGAGGGAGUAGUGGAGCUGGGGAGCUCACUGGGGCCUUUCACUUUCCCUCCCAGGCCAGAAACCCGGUGGGGCGUGCCGGGCCUUCCCCGGCCAUCUCGGGCGAGCUGGAGACUGCUGCCCGCCCCUUGGCGGGUCUACCCCGUGCUUGACAGAGCCCAGAAGCACCGUCAGACCACUCGCGCUGCAGAGUGCUGCUGGAGGGAAUGUAUGUACUAGGACGACCUCGACAAUCUCAUAGCUGGUGAGAAGGAAUUUAACUUUACCUGUCUUCUGCUCAGCUACAGCGAUUUCCCCUCCCUGA